GAUGAACGCUGGCGGCGGGCCUAACACAUGCAAGUCGAACGGAAAGACAGUAAGAGUUUGCCUUUAAGGGUGGCGGGUGGCGGACGGGUGAGGAAUAUAUCGGAACCUUCUUUUUCGUGGGGGAUAACGUAAGGCAGGUUCAGAUAAUAGCGCAUAUGAUGCACCGGGGGGAGCAGUGGAUCAUUUCAGCUUGUGUGAUUGAAUGCGCCGAUUUCGCAUUAGCUUGUUGGGGAGGUAAUGGCCCAGCAUGGCAACGAUACGUAGCCGGACUGAGAGGGUGAUCGGCCACACUGGAACUGAGACACGGUCCAGACUCCUACGGGAGGCAGCAGUCGGGAAUAUUGCGCAAUGGGCGCAAGCCUGACCCAGCCAUCCCGCGUGAGUGAAGAAAGCCUUCGGGUCGUAAAGCCCUUUUUUUGGGGAAGAAAAGCUGCAGAUUAAAACCCCGCUGUACUGACGGUACCCAAUGAAUAAGCACCGGCUAACUACGUG
This 492-nucleotide ribosomal RNA is filed under the name uncultured bacterium. RNAcentral describes it as "partial 16S ribosomal RNA". It matches the Rfam family "Bacterial small subunit ribosomal RNA", at positions 28 to 507 of the family's 1533-position model. The record is from RNAcentral.